This is a long non-coding RNA of Choloepus didactylus (southern two-toed sloth), 7085 nucleotides long. RefSeq lists it as uncharacterized. The transcript has 6 exons. Lineage: Eukaryota; Metazoa; Chordata; Mammalia; Pilosa; Megalonychidae. The record is from RefSeq and is a predicted model, not a curated record.
CCCGCGGAGGGGUCCGACGCCGCACCUGCGUCUGGCCACGCCCAGUGACGUCGGGUCCCCGGCAACCGCGGUGCCAACCCACCCUCCUCUUCUCAGGCCCGUACAUCCCCCCCACUCCUCCGGUUUCCAGCCCUACUUAUCCUUCGAGGAGCAGAUAGUUGGGAUGAGCCCGAGUCAAACUGGACAAAUCUGUUCCAGGAACUGGUUACUUUUGAGGGUAUCGGCGUGUACUUGAGAUACCAAGAGUGGAAGCGCCUGGACGGCCCUCGGAAGGCUCUGCGGGGACGUGAUGCUACAGAAUUAGGGAAACAUUAUCGCUCAGAGAUUUCCAGUUUCUAAAAAUGGUGUGGUCAGCCAGUUGAAAACAGGGGAAGUCCCAUGUAUUGGAGCUAGACAAAGAGCCACAAUCAGACCUGUGCCAAGAGAAAGUCAAAUAGGAAAUACCUGUUGAUCUGAAGAUAGGAGUGUAGGAAAGACCACCUGUCAGCUUUGACAUUUACCGCAACCCAAGGAGCAAAUGGAGCCACACAGCUCAGCCUGCCAGGCACUCUGGGCACUCUUGCUUAGGGCUUUCUGGAUUCUCCAGGUUUGUACGUGAGGAGUGGCUCCUUCUCAAGGUAGAGGUUUGUUCUCUUGUGUCAAAAAAGUCUGGAGGUAGGCGGUUCCGGGCAGUUUGGCUGCUUCAUGAUGCCUUCAGCACUGCAGGCUCCUAUUUUUCCCACUUCCUUCCUUAGCAUUUGGUUUCCCUCUUCAAGGUCACAUCAUGUUGAGAAGGUGGCCAUGGAGCUCCAGCCAUCACAUCCACACUCCAGACGGGAAGAAAGAAUCAGCUUCCUUUGGAGCAGUGCUUCUCAAACUUUAAUGCCUGACACUAAACACCGACUCAAAGCCUGCCUCGACCCUGAUGAAUCUGGUUGUGCCUGCCCCGCAGGGAUCAUCCCUCCGCCAGCAGCAGCAAUCGUAUGUCAGCAGUGGGUCACCUUUGGGGAUAUGGCUCGUCAGGUCAGUCAUGCUGGAACAAGGGGAAGCAUCUUGGGUACCAGGUCUGCAGGUGGCUGAGAACAGAAGCCUCUCCAUUUGCCCAGUCUCUAAGCUACCAGGUGGAAAUCAGAUUGAAGUCAGAUUCAGGGCCACAUAAGGCCCUAAAGAAGGCAAGUCCCUCUCCUCUGGACUCACCAUUUGCACAGACAAGGCCAGUGGCCUGAUGCAGCGGCCUCCGCCUGGUCUGCUGUCUGCGUGUGGGGAGGAAGCCAAGCACCCUCAGCACCAAGAACCGUUUCCCUUUAUUCCACCCUCUUUGUCUUCUGCGCCUUUCCUUCUGGGGUUAUCUUCAUUGCUACACAUCAGUUGAUGUCCCUAUUUUUUCCCAGGUGUUUCUUCCUGUCCCUUUAUUCCUUCCCUUAUAUUGCCUCCAUCGCAGUGUACUUGGCCAUCUUUGUCUGCUGUCCCUCUGAGGCUUCCUUUUUUGGCCCCAUUCGCCAUCUUUCCUGCCAAGAGUCCUGCAGAUAAGUGCCACACAGCAUCAUUCUCUUUGUUGUACUUGAUUAUGUUUUUCUCAAGUUGGUUUUUGCCCAGAAUGGGUAUCAGAUAAUGUAUUUUUUGUCAGAUGGUGAGAGCAGAACCAAGAAAGCAGAAUCAACUCUAAAGCAGGGCAUUUCUAAGGACAUUGAGUGUGGAGGGAAAGCUUUGAGAGAACUCCCAAAGACCAGGCCAAGAGUUUCAGUUUCAUAGAAUUACAUGAAUCUCAAGAAACCACAAGAGACUUUAGAAGAAAAGGAUCCUUCAAGUAUGGUGAGAGCAGUAAGUGAUCCACCAGGAAGUCACAACAUACUGCUUGUCAGAAAAUCCAUACCAGAGAGUUCCACUGUCACCUGUUCCUGCAGCCCAGAGGACUGGGCAGAGACUUGUCCGUGUAAGGAGUGUGAGGAAACGUGGAGAGACACCACAUGUUCUCACACCAGAGCACUCACGCAGCGACUGUGUCUAAUGCUCUCUUGCCUGAGACUGCCUUCCACAGACAGCAGGCCUGCAAAUGUGAGUGACUUCCCAGCUCUCCAUGCAUGGGAAGAAGCCCCCGAAUGCUGUGAGUGUGGAGAAAGCAUUAGGGAUCAGUCUCUCAUGCCUGUCAGUGCAUUUAUAAUAGGAAAAAGCUCCACAAGUGUAACACGUGGAAAAGCCUUCCAAGACAAUGAGGCCCUUUCUUCCCAUCGAAGAGCGCACACAAGAAAGGAGCUGAGUCUCCACAAGGAGUGCACAAAGGCCCUUCCUCAGAAUGUAUUGAUCAUGAAACAGUCCACACUGGAGAAAAGCCCUAAGAAUAUUCUGACUGUGGGAAAAUGUUUAGCCAGAAUGAAUAUCUUACUCGAGCUAAGAGAAGCCAAAUAAAUACUGGGGGUGAGCCUCCAGCCAGGGCUUCUAUGUUACCCUGCGUAUGAAAAUUCAUAGUGGCAAGGAACACUACCAGUGUCAUGAAUGUGUAAAAGCCUUUGCUCGGGUGUCACAGUUCUCUUCACACCAGACAGCUCACACUGGAGAAAAGCCUUGUAUGUGUAAAGAAUGUGGAAAAGAUUUCAGAGGGAGGUCACACUUCAUUAUACCCGAGUUCACACCCAGAAUAAAUCAUCUAGGUGCAGCAAGUUGGCAGAGUCUUUAUAUAUUACACUCCCUAUGUAAUAUAUAUGUAAUAGAAUUCACACUGGAGAGAAGUCCCACAAGUGCCCCAAACGUGGCAAAGCCUUUAGGGAUCGUUCCCAACUCCUGGUUUAUCCACACACUCACAGGUGGGGAGGCCUUCGGGGACCAGCCCCAUGUCAUUGCCCAGUGGAGUAGCCAUCCUGGAAGACCUUCAGUCAUAACUGGGAUCUGAGAAACCCCAUGCACAUCUCAAGUUGGGAAGGCCACUACGAGGAACACCAGCCUUAGGAAUCACCAGAGCCUGGGAGGGGAAGGAGGGUGGUUGGUAAUUGUGCAGACCUUCAAUAACACACUGCAAUGCACGGGCAAUUUCAAAUCCCAUGAAUGUGAUGAGUUGCCAAGCAGAAAAAGAUCCCACCUUACUCUGUCUCAGAAUUUAGGUAGGAGAGAAAUUGUACAGAUAGUCCAAGGAUGGAAACACCUUCCCUUUUAGGUAAUUUAUUCUAGAGCUGGGUCUGCAGUCGGUUUCGGUAAAGGGCCAGAGAAUAAAUACUUCAGGCUCUGUGGGCCAGACAGUCUCCGCUGCAACCAGAAAGCUUUGCUGUUGAAGCAUGAAAGUAGCCAUGGGCAAUAUGUAAAUAAACAAGGCCGGCUGUGUUCCAGUAAAACUUCCUUUACAAAAACAGGCGGCUAGUCAAAUUUUGCCCAUGAGCCGUACUUUGCAGACCCCUGUGCUGGAGGUAGAGCAUCUCAAGGACCUUUCCCAGUUAAGGGGAGAGGCACUCUAGAUUGGACUCCCUUGCAGAGAUCUAGAAAAGCACGGUCAGUGCAGCAGAACCUUCAGGGCUGCUCACACCUUGUCAGGAGGGUCGACAUACGGAAGGCCGAGAUACCUGGGCUCAUACCCUAGGUUCUGCCAUAAAACGGUGGAAGGAAUAGCACCCAGUCAUCUAGAAGCCACAGAAGACCGAAAAAGCAUAUGUGCAAGUGCUUUGGGAGUAAAUACUGUAAACACAUUUAAAAUGGUGAUUUAUGGUAAAAGAUUCACUCAUUCUCCAAAUAGCUGUUGGGCCCCUCCUCUAUGCCAGGUUCCUGCUAGAGAUACAUUUGGGAGUGUCAGGCUGUAGAUGGUGUUUAGAGCCAUGGGGCAGGAUGAUUUCAGCAGAGGUGUUUAUGUAGCAAGAGGAGGACUGAAGGUUGAGCUGGGGGCCUCCAACAUUUACAAGUUAGAGAAAAGAGAAGAGUCCAGUCUGGAAGAUUGUGAAAACACCUGUGAGGCAAAAAAACAGCAGUGGGGAGUCAGGAAAGCAGAGGAAGGAAGCGUCUCAAGGAAGGAAUGGUAAGCUCCUCCAAAUUCUGCCAAUGGGCGGGUUUCGGAAGGCCUGGGAAUUGGCCACUCUAUUUGACAGGGGUGGUAGUUUAGUGUCCUAGGGCUGCCUAGCAAAUUACCACAAACUGGGUGGCUUAAAACAACGGAGAUUUAUUCUCUCUCAGUUCUGGAAGCCAGAGGUCUGAAAUCAAGGUGCUGGUAGGGCUGCAUUCCCUCUGAGGGCUCUAGGGACAAAUCACUCCUCACCUCUUCUGGCUUCUGGUGGCUCCAGGCGUUCCUUGGUUUGUGGCUUUGUAACUCCAAUCUGUCUGCCUUCUCUUCCAUGGGUCUCUUACAAGUACACUUGUUAUUGGAUUGAUCUCCUGGAUAAUCCAGAUUCUCAAUUACAUCUGCAAAGACCCUUUUUCCAAAUAAGGUCACAUUCACACGUUAUGGGGAUUAGGAUGUGGGCAUAGCUUUUGGGGGGCCACCAUUCAGCCCCCUGCAGGUGGUGUCCAGGGAGUGAUGGUGAGAUGGAGCAGGUUCUGGAGAGAAUGGGGGCAGAGGGAGUACAGGCAGCAAGUAUGCCUAGAGCCAGAGAGUAAAACUGAAUCACGCUUGCCUGAGGAAAGCAAGGAUCUUAUGUGUACCCAGCUUUUUGUGUCAGUGGUAGCACCCUCAUAAACCCCUGUACUCAGAGGGCAGGGGAAAGAGGAGGUAGGGAAGAAGUUGAAUCACAAAUUUCCUUGCACAGUCUGGCCUUCUCGGCAUAUGAUGUUGCAGUGGGCCUGUUGUUUCAGGGUCUCCAGGUGCUUGGAGGCCACAGGAGCUUGGCUGGGAGUAGGGCUGGGGGUAGUGUUGCCAAAACUAUUGGGCAGCAGCUAAGAGGGAACUGCCCUCUGCUCCCACCACUCUCCAUGGCUAUAAGGCAGCUGCCUAUUGCCACGGGUGCAAAGGUGUCCCCUAGCUGCUGUGGGCAUCUUGGAUGCCCUUGAGGCUACACCAAGGACUUGCAGAAACUGGGUCCCCUUCAGGGCUGAGGCAGCUGUCGGUAAGACACAGAUGCCUCCCUGCUGUUGCCCCCACUAUUUCUACAAAAAACUUGCCCUCACGUGGCUGAAUCUAGGUCCUCAAGAGAAAGAGGCAGUCUGUCUGUUGUGUGCAGGCUGCCAAUGGCAGAUGGCAUUCAGGCCCUGCCCAGGUCCCCAAAGAUAAAUGGGCACCCUAGUUCUCGUACAGAAUUUCUUAAAGAGGGACACAAAUAGGUGGACUGCUUUGGGGAGCAGAGGGAUGAAGUAAUCUCAGCCUUGAACAAAAGAGAAUUAAAAAGUUCUUAGGCCUUUUUGAUUAGAUUAUUUCCAUGGAGAUGUGACCCCACCCAUUCAAGGUGGGUCUUAAUUAGUAUACUGGCAUCUUCUAUGAGAGGAUAAAAGGCAGAGACAUUUUGAAGAGUGCUCAGAGAUGCUUCGAAAACGCCCAGGGUCAUUUUGGAGACAGCCAUUGAAAGCAGAACCAGAAGAGAAGCUAAGAAAUGAAAUCCAGAGUUUGCCCCAGAGAAGCUACGAAAGGACCCCCAGACGUUUAGAGAGAAAUGCCCCGGGAGGAACAAGCAAGGACACACAGAAGCCCAGAGACAUUUUGGAGAGAAGGUCCAGCAGAUGUCAUCAUGUGACUUUCCAUGUGACAGAGGAACCCCAGAUGCCAAUAGCCUUCCUUUAGUGAAGGUAUCUUCUUGUUGCUGCCUUCGUUUGGACAUUUUUAUGGCCUUAGAACUGUAAAUUUGUAACUUAAUAAACCCCCUUUAGAUACAUAUAAAAAAGAAAAGGUCUUAGGAAGGAGGCUUUGGCUAGAAUAGGAUAUAUCUCAAGUCUUCAGUUUAAACAUCACUUUUCACACACCCAGAUAAGUUGGGCCCCGUUUUACUCUUCCACCUCACUUGUUCAGUGUCCGUCAUCACCAUUAGAGGUUGGCCCCAUGAUGGCAGAGGCUGGUCCAGCUUGCUUGUCUGUGUUGCCCCAGCAUCUGCCUAUCACAUGGCUGGCACUGAAUGAAUAAUUUGGAGAUGAGUAGGGAGAAAUGAUCAGCCAUUACCUGUGCCUUGGGCAUUGGCUUCCUUGAGAGGGCUUUGCUCUGACUGGUUGCUAUCUGGUGUCCUUCCACACACUGGGGCAGCCCUGCUCCUAUACCAGGAGGGCCGCACACCUGCCACCUGUAGGAGCUGAUCAGUGAGCCCCAUACCUCCACCUCUGUGCACACCCCUGGAGUGGGGCUCUUGGUGCCUUCUGGUGCCAACUGGGAAAGCUAAGGAUGGAGUACAUGUGACCUUUCACACCAGGGAUGCCCUCAGCUCCCUGGUAGGUUUGCAUCAAGGACCUCUCUUGUCACCACAGCAACUUGCCUAUCCUUCCCACACUGAGGAAUGCUGAGUUGAGGUGUUUCCUGGGAGUUGCCUCUCCCUCAUUUUCCCUCCCUUUUUGGGCAACCCUAGCUGAAGGAAUGCUGCAGGGGCAGGUGGUCUGCUGCCCCCAACAUAAGACUGUCCAUCUCAUUACGUCCUCCCACCCAUCAGAUGUACUUUGAACCAUAUGAAUGAAACAAACAGUUUUACUUCCCGUUUUAUCUACACUUCUGAGAGAGUGUUACACACAGGCAUCUAUCUUACUAUGGCUAAGAUGGGCCAUGCACUCAACUGUUUGAGGUUUGUCUUUGGAGUUGGAAUUACUAGAGAAGUCACUUUAUGUCAUGUAAUUCUCUAGAUUGACCUUUCUUAAAGAUUUUGUAAUCAGAAUAAAAGAUUAAAAUACUGAAAAAUAUAUGAAUUUUGUUUGCUAAUCAUUAGUUAUGUUUUCAGGGUUACGAGGACCGCCACAUCUGCCACCUGCAGAAGCUGUUCAGCAUGCCCCAAGCGCCGGCUCCAUGCACACUCCUACGGUGGGAACCGAGAGUGGCUGCCUCUGUUCAGCUGUUUACUUCUUUUGAAAUUUGUUUGACACUUUUUUGUUUUUUAAGUCCAUGUGAUUUGUAAAGCACAGAUUUAAAAAUUUUAACCUAUUUAUUUGCAAAAAAGUUGUAGAAAAAGUUUCUAUGUAAUCAAGUAGCCUUUUAAAAAAUUAAAGCCUUUGUUCUAAUGGGAUGCUGAAAA